GUUUGCAGAUUACUCAGUCAUGUUUAAAGCUUCAGACCGUUUGGCCAAAGGAUAAGCAAAACUCACAGGCAAGGCGGAAUAAAGAGGGAGGUGUGUAUUUUUAUUAUGAUUGACAAGCCACUGGUGGCAGGGAAUUCAGGAUGAGUGAAGAUAGCAUCCCUGGUAAAAAAAUGACUCAUGUAAAAGGAAAUGAGUGAAGAAUGCAAGAUGCACUGAAGAUAUUUUAGAAUCCUCUCCUCUGGAUUCUAAUGAUAUAUUACACUUGAUAGUGUCAAAUUUUGAUGCCACACAUGGUAUGGUUUCAACCAAAACCACUUACCUAUACAUCCUAUGAAGGUAAGCAUGAAGAUACAAAUGCCACACUAAGAUUUAAGUACAAGAUCCGAGCCGAAUGCAGAUACUUCUUGUGGGCCACAAAACUGCAGAAUGCAGAUACUUCUUCAUUCUGAUUCUACUCCGUUACUGACUACUCGAGCAGCUUCUUUGUUCGACAAAACAAGUCCACAUGUACAGAAUUUCUAAGUAUUGGAAUGUACAAAGAUGUUUUUUCUCCUCCUGGCUCAGUACCAGUUUAAGAAAUUGAGCCGCAGUGACCAAUCGAUUCUCCUUUAACAUUAAUUGCCUCCUGACAAUUAAAUUUAUAUGUGCAUGUGGAAUGCAAACACAUGAAUAGUAAUGUAGUGUUUAGAGUAAUCUUUAUUGCGUUUUAUUACAGCUGCUUCACACUUUGAAUCACACACCAAACAUGACUGGAUGUAAAGUUCACACCGAGAAUCAUCUGAUUCUUUACUAAAACAUCACCAUCUAAACCCUCUUAUCCCACAUUCUUUGACGGAUUUUCCUUUAGAAAUACCACUUGUCUUUUCAC
Sesamum indicum (sesame) is the source of this 868-nucleotide non-coding RNA. The record is from RefSeq and is a predicted model, not a curated record. Lineage: Eukaryota; Viridiplantae; Streptophyta; Magnoliopsida; Lamiales; Pedaliaceae.